This 253-nucleotide ribosomal RNA is filed under the name uncultured bacterium. RNAcentral's name for it is "partial 16S ribosomal RNA". It matches the Rfam family "Bacterial small subunit ribosomal RNA", at positions 524 to 776 of the family's 1533-position model. The record is from RNAcentral.
UACGGAGGAUGCGAGCGUUAUCCGGAAUCAUUGGGUUUAAAGGGUGCGUAGGCUGGUAUUUAAGUCAGUGGUGAAAUUUUCGUGCUUAACAUGAGAGCUGCCAUUGAUACUGGGUACCUAGAGUGUAUUUGAUGUGGGCGGAAUGUGUUGUGUAGCGGUGAAAUGCUUAGAUAUGACACAGAACACCGAUAGCGAAGGCAGCUCACAAAGUUACAACUGACGCUGAUGCACGAAAGCGUGGGGAGCGAACAGG